ACUUUCAGCAAUGGAUGUCUUGGCUCCACAACGAUGAAGAACGCAGCGAAAUGCGAUACGUAAUGCGAAUUGCAGAGUCCAGCGAGUCAUCAAAUGUUCGAACGCACCUGGCGCUUCCGGGAUAUUCCUGGGAGCAUGCUUGUUAGAGUGUCUGUUGA
RNAcentral lists this ribosomal RNA (158 nucleotides) under Gonyostomum semen. Its description in RNAcentral is "5.8S ribosomal RNA". It matches the Rfam family "5.8S ribosomal RNA". From Rfam's summary of the family: 5.8S ribosomal RNA (5.8S rRNA) is a component of the large subunit of the eukaryotic ribosome. It is transcribed by RNA polymerase I as part of the 45S precursor that also contains 18S and 28S rRNA. Lineage: Eukaryota; Raphidophyceae; Chattonellales; Vacuolariaceae. The record is from RNAcentral.